This 497-nucleotide ribosomal RNA is filed under the name uncultured bacterium. Its description in RNAcentral is "partial 16S ribosomal RNA". It matches the Rfam family "Bacterial small subunit ribosomal RNA", at positions 28 to 507 of the family's 1533-position model. The record is from RNAcentral.
GAUGAACGCUGGCGGCGUGCCUAAUACAUGCAAGUCGAGCGAACAGAUGAGGAGCUUGCUCCUCUGACGUUAGCGGCGGACGGGUGAGUAACACGUGGAUAACCUACCUAUAAGACUGGGAUAACUUCGGGAAACCGGAGCUAAUACCGGAUAAUAUAUUGAACCGCAUGGUUCAAUAGUGAAAGACGGUUUUGCUGUCACUUAUAGAUGGAUCCGCGCCGCAUUAGCUAGUUGGUAAGGUAACGGCUUACCAAGGCAACGAUGCGUAGCCGACCUGAGAGGGUGGUCGGCCACCCUGGAGCUGAGACACGGUCCAGCCUCCUACGGGAGGCAGCAGUAGGGAAUCUUCCGCAAUGGGCGAAAGCCUGACGGAGCAACGCCGCGUGAGUGAUGAAGGUCUUCGGAUCGUAAAGCUCUGUUAUUAGGGAAGAACAAAUGUGUAAGUAACUAUGCACGUCUUGACGGUACCUAAUCAGAAAGCCACGGCUAACUACGUG